Molecule: long non-coding RNA, 5884 nt
Filed under: Sus scrofa (pig)
Lineage: Eukaryota; Metazoa; Chordata; Mammalia; Artiodactyla; Suidae
Description: lncRNA (ENSSSCG00040055860.1)
Source: RNAcentral
UUUUUUUUUUUUUUUUUUUUUUUUUAAGCAGGGCUUCCUGAUGAAUUUUUUAAUUCGUUCUAAAUAAUUGGUCUAUUGAGUUGGCCCCGACUUCAAAACAGUUUAACAUAUGGGAUUUAUACACAAUGAAUGAAUAAAACUUAUAAACACCAGAAUUCCCACUGUGGUGCCACAGGAUCUAUGGUAUCUCUGCACUGCCAGGAUGCAGGUUCAGUGCCCAGCCCAGCACAGUGGAUUAAAGGAUUCGGCAUUGCCACAGCUACAGCAUAGGUCACAACUAUGGCUCCAAUCUGAUCUAUGACCUGAGAACUCCAGACACCAUGGGCAGCCAAAAUAGAAAAGCAAAAAACAAAAACUUAGAAAUGUUACAAUCACAGUAAGUUCUCGAAAAGAAUGGCACAUGUUGCAAGGAAAAAAGUAAAAGUCAUGGAGGUUAGACAUUGAAGGGAGUUGGCAGGGGAUGGGCGGAAAAUUCUCCCCAAGUGAAUCAAAGCCCUGGGAGGGCAGGGAGCUCAUGUAUGUUUAAGGGACUAAAAGAAGGUGUCAAUGUGACCGGAACCCAGACAAUGAGAUGGGGAGCAUGGUUCAUCCUGAGGCUGGAGACAUGAGCUGGACCCCUGUAGUGUUAAAAACUUUAUCCUAAAUCAGUGAGAAGCUGUUGAAAGAAAGAUCACUUCGAGAAAUGGUGCACCUGAAAGAUCUGAGAAAAGUGAGCACAUGUUGGUGAUGAGAUGGGAUAAGAAGUGUGAUGGAGAAGAAGGUAUCACCUCUCUCUCUAGUUUUCAGCUUGUAGAACAGGCUGGAUGCUGGCCCCCUUCAUUGAGUAGGGACUGGAAGGAAAUUUUAUGUAGGGUGUAUUGAGUGUGGGGAGACACUGAUUUGGGUUUCUGUUCGGAUCCUCGUUUUUUGGAUACAUUGGGUUUGAAGGCAUUUGAGACCUGUUGAUUGUCAAAGGGUGAGUAGAUAUAAGCUGUGAGCUUUCCGAAUAGCUGACUACCCGGUAAUUAAAACCUUGAAGAUCAUUGUGAAGGAUGAAGCCGGGGAAGAAAGAAGGGCGAGGAAAAAGAGAGACUGGGGCCCAGCCGUAGCACUGCAAGAGUGUCAGCUCUUGGAUAAUUGCAUUAAUUGAGCGUUUGGUCCAUUUUGUUACUCACUGGGAUUCCUUGUCCGAGCUUCCAUAAAUUCUAAGAAGAAUCUGGAGAGCUUGCAAAAGAAUAUUCCUGUGCUUGGGGCCUUUAGGGAAUCUGUGGGUGUCUCUCCUUAAGGAGAUAUUUGGUGUUCAGGGUCGGAUCUAAAGUAAUGCAGCUGCCUUCUUAUCUUUUGUUCUGCUAUUUUAGAAUCUCUGAACAGAUGUUUUUAAAUGUUUUUAAUAACACUGUGCUUUGAAAUUGGUACAGGCACCCAAAGAGCCUCUUGCAACAUGACAUGUAGGUUUUUAAUACAAAAAUAUUCUAAUGUUCAGAGCUACACAUAGAAGCCAAUGCCUGGAAUCCUGAGGGAGAUUUGUCUGCUUAUGAAAAUUCUGUAAAUUCUUUAUGGAAAGGAAGUCUUGCCAUGGUUUUAAUAUGACUCUCUGGAAUAAUCUCUGGAUAUGGUAAUAUUAACACAGAGUUACUUUUAAAAAAAUAAAUGUAAUAAAUGUUAGCUUUGGUUUUCUGGACAUGGCGUUUUCUAGAAAACUCUAGACUGCAUCCCCCCAAAUUUGAGUCUAAGUAAUGUUCUUAUGUUGUUUCUUCUUUCUCAAAAAUAUUUGGUAGGCUGACUUUAUUAAGUAUAACUAAUAAUAUUGGCAAGGAGACCGCGCCAUUUAAAUAAAAGUAGUUAUAGCCAUGUUUUCUAUAACUAUAUUUACAUGUAGCUGCUUCAGCUUUUAACUACAUAUGUUCACUUAGGUUUUUUCUUAUUAGAGGUCUUUCAUCCCUCUGAAAACUAUUAUUUCCUUAUUAAUUUCCCAGUGGCUUUGGGCAGUUUCUAGCUAUGGCAAUGACUAUGCGGAUAAACAGUCUUCAUUGUCUAUGGUUUUAUGAUAGAGAAAAAUAUGUUUGAUACACUUAAAAUGCUGAUGAUUAGAUGAAGUCAAAGGAGAAGUCAUUAACUUUGAUCUGAUUCCCACUAUAUUCCAAAGCCUGAGGAUUAUAAAAAUGAAGAUGUGUUGCUGCUCUCACCAAGCUUAGCAGAAAUGACCAAAAUAUACUGAGAACUUACUGUGGCUGGGCAUUCAUAGACUCUUGUAGCAAAUGUAAUAUAGCAAACGUAAAUCCUACCUUUUUCCAAGGAACGUAAUUUUAUGAGUGAGUAUAGUAAACUCAUCUAUCUAGGAGAGACCUCAAAGGACUUCCCUGAGAAGGUGAUGCUUGGAUUGAGUUCUAAGCAUGUGUUGGUUUUACUUGGGGGGAGCAGAGGAAGAGCUUUAUAGACUCAGGGGUCGAUCCUAAUCCAUGGCAGGAAGAGGAAGAAGGCCAAUGGAGAGUUCCUGCUCUGGCUUAGCAGGUUAAGAACCUGACUAGUAUCCAUGAGGAUGAGGGUUCAAUCCCUGGUCCCGCUCAGUGGGUUAAGGAUCCGACAUUGCUGCAAGCUGUGGUGUAGGUCACAGACACAACUCAGAUCUGGUGUUGCUGUGGCUGUGGUGUAGGUCUGCAGCUGCAGCUCCAGCAGAAAGUGGUUGGUGGCAAGUGACAGAGCCCCUGUAGGCCAUGUUUCAGUAGGUCUACCAUCAUCUAAGCAACUGCUCAUGCAUCAGAGUGUUGUCGUAAAACUCUAUACCAACUGUUCUGUGUAUAUGUUGGUGAGAGGAGGACCGUAUUUCUCUUAAUGCUGCUGAAUAAUCUAGCAAUCACUUGGGAAUGGGGCUGUUGAAACUUCAGAUCCAGGCUACCCCAAACCAAUUGAAUCAGAACCUCUGUGGGUACAUCCCGACAUCGGUCUAUUUUGAAGCUUCCAAAGCGAUUCUGAUGUGGAGCCAAGCUUGAGAGCUAGUGGUUUAAUGAGACUCCCUGGCUGCUUGGCUGAGAUUAGAGGCCAGGAAGGAGGUCAGGGGGCUUCCGUAGUGGGGAAGGGUGAGGUCUUGAAGAAGGCAGCUCCCCGAAGUGAAUGGAAAGGAAGGGGUGGGGUUCGAAGACAUUCAGGCCCUUGAAUGGAGCCAGUCCACGUUGGAACCUGUCCAGGGGAGUUUAUGUGCUAAAUAAACUUCAGAAGACCAUCUCUCAUGGGUGCCUUGAAAAUAAUUAGCUGACAUGCAUUUUCCAUAGUUUAAUUUUUUUCUUAACGCUUUUUAAAAAUGCUCUGAAAUGUUUGAAUAAAAUGAACAAUCGUGCAUCUGCACAACUUUAGAUUUCUGGCAUACUUUCUUCCAGUCUUCUUGUUUGUGAAAUAACCACAUGACAGUUGAGAAAAUCCCCUCCUCAACUCCACUGUACUCUUACCAACCCCACCAUCCAAACUUGAUGGUUACUGCUACUUGCAUGAGUGGUGCUUUAUUAUACAUGUUUGUGUUCAGAAAUAAUACAUGACUUUAUUUUCUGCUUUUAAACUUAAUAUAUGUGGCAUUCUAUGUUUUUCAUUGUGGUUGUUAUUUUUGUUUUUGUUUUUUGAGCCAGUGGCAUGGGGAAGCUCCCGGGCUAGGGAUUGAACCCAUGCCACACAGCAAUGACAACACUGGAUCCUUAACCACUAGGCCAUCAGGGAACUCCUGUAAAUGGUGUUCUGUGCAGUACACAUUCUUUUUCAACUUUAAUCUCAAAAAUGUGAUUUUGAGAUUUAUUUGUAAUGACAUAUAAUUCUAAUUUAUUUAUUUUAGCUGCUGUAAAGAGAUGCAUUGUAGGAAUGAGCUUCUAUUUAUAUAUUUGUUUUGCUAUUGAUGAACAUUUAUUUAGCUUCCAAUUUUAUUGCUGUUACAAACUGUGCUACUGUGACUAUUUUGUGCACAGUUUCACAAGGGCUUAUACCCACCCAGGAGUUAAAUGGUGGAUAAAAUGCUGUGUGCAUCUCAAGCCUUAUUUUCUGAAAAGAUUGUACCAAUUCACUCUCCCACCAAGUGGGAGUCCCCAUCACUCCCAUCCUUGUCAAUAGUCAGUGUUGGGGUUUUUCACCAAUAUUAUUAGUAUGAAAUCAUUUCUCAUUUUUAUUUUCCCUCUCCCAUGAAACCACAGUGGUUCCUCUUCUUCCAGUUCAUUGAUACCAUAUAUUGCUGUAUUAAAGGAAAAUGUCUUGGAAAUACAAAACCCUGACUAAUUUUCAUAUAGGAAACAUACCUUCCGUUAUGCCUGAGAGCUCACUCAGUCAUUCACUCAACAAACGUUGCCAGUUUGACUGAGAAUCCAAAGAUCCAUGAGACGUGCUCCCUGCUACCCGGGAACUCAUGGUCUUGAGGAGAAGGCAGACCAAAACAAAAGAGGGAUGGUACACACCUUGGUAAUUUGUUGGGAGUAGAGAAGGAAACUGCAGAAGAGGGGGAGAUGGAGUCGGUUAGGAGCUUAAGCAGGCUUCCUGCAGAAAGUGAUGUCCCAGAAGAACCCAAGAUAAAUAGGACUGAGUGAAUAUGAUCCUCCAAACUAGUAUCACCUUCCCAUUUCACAAGCAGGGAGAGUGAGGUCUAGGGAAUUAUCAUGACUAACUUGGGUAAGUAAAUUAUGAUGGAGCAAAUUGAAGCUAGAUCUUUGGCUCUGAAGCUUGCCCAUGCCGAAGGAGACCAUGGUGUUUAAGAGACCCCAUCACCUCCAUGGGUACCAAAGUCCUAAGGAUGCAGGUAAGCUCUGAAAAGAGCAAAAAGAGCAUCCCUCCCACGAGAUAACUCUCCCAGACAUUUGGCUGGACUCAUGCAUCAUUUGGAUUUUCCAUUGGUGUCAGCCCUCCUGCCAUUCAUUUGUUGCUGCCUGUCAGCAAACGCUAUGAUUGUUCUAGAAGGGAACUACCGAGUCAGCAAGAGUCUGCCAAAUUCCUGUUUCAGAUGUGAGCUUAAGGGCACAGAGGGCGGGAGGAGGGACUUUUUCUCUAAUGCUUUCCAGGGGCAGGGCUUCCAGGGCCUGGCAGGCCCUUGAAAGAAGGUGAGUUUUUACCCCGGCUGCCACUGCAGAGCUUCAAGAAAGGAGGGCCACGGUCUGAGUUGGUCUGAGUGGACAAAUGGGCAGCUAUGUCGAGACCAGGCAGAGGCAAUGAGGGGGGGGAGAGGAGACCGGUCAGGAGACCAUCUCAACAAGCCAGACCAAAGAUGACGAGGCUUGGACCAGUGCAGUACCAGCAGGGGUGAUCUUUGGAUUUAUUCGAAAGGGGACAUCAGCAGUGCAUCCUGGUAGACAGCAGGGACUUUAAGAGAAAGAGGGGAGGCCCUUCCUGUUUUCCUGCUCAUCCUCCAGAAAAUUGCUGAAGGACAGGCAGAAGUGGUCUUGUUAAGAGUAGAUGCCUGGGAGUUCCCUAGUGGCCUAGCAGGUUAAGGAUCUGAUAUUGUCCCUGCUAUGGCUCAUAGCUAUGGCUUCUAUGGCAUGGGUUUGAUCCCUGGCCUAAGAACUUCCUGCAAGGAAAAAAAAAAAAAUAGAUGCCUGAUACAGUUACACAUGCUCUCCUGUGGGGGACACCUGCUUUGCCUCCAUUGUGAAUUUGUCUUCAACACAAAACCCCUGAACUCACCCAAAAGCUGUGGACAGGCAUUUAGAUGAGACUAGAAAAUGUUUGAGGAGUUCCCAUUGUUGCUCAUCAGUAAUGAAUCCGACUAGUAUCCAUGAGGUGAUAAGUCUUGAUCCCUGGCCUUGCUCAGUGGGGUGAGAAUCUGGCAUUGCUGCAAGCUGGGGUGUAGUUCGAAGACACAGCUCUGCUCCCGAGUUGCUGUGGCUGUGGUGUAGGCCUGCAGCAGCAGCUUCGAUUUGACCCCUAGCCUGGGAACGUCCAUGUA